RNAcentral lists this ribosomal RNA (510 nucleotides) under uncultured bacterium. RNAcentral describes it as "partial 16S ribosomal RNA". It matches the Rfam family "Bacterial small subunit ribosomal RNA", at positions 28 to 507 of the family's 1533-position model. The record is from RNAcentral.
GACGAACGCUGGCGGCGUGCUUAACACAUGCAAGUCGAACGAAGAGCGACGGAAGCUUGCUUCUAUCAAUCUUAGUGGCGAACGGGUGAGUAACGCGUAAUCAACCUGCCCUUCAGAGGGGGACAACAGUUGGAAACGACUGCUAAUACCGCAUACGAUCUAACCUCGGCAUCGAGGAUAGAUGAAAGUUGGCCUCUACAUGUAAGCUAUCACUGAAGGAGGGGAUUGCGUCUGAUUAGCUAGUUGGAGGGGUAACGGCCCACCAAGGCGAUGAUCAGUAGCCGGUCUGAGAGGAUGAACGGCCACAUUGGGACUGAGACACGGCCCAGACUCCUACGGGAGGCAGCAGUGGGGAAUCUUCCGCAAUGGACGAAAGUCUGACGGAGCAACGCCGCGUGAGUGAUGACGGCCUUCGGGUUGUAAAGCUAUGUUAAUCGGGACGAAAGGCCUUCUUGCGAAUAGUGAGAAGGAUUGACGGUACCGGAAUAGAAAGCCACGGCUAACUACGUG